AUUGAACGCUGGCGGCAGGCCUAACACAUGCAAGUCGAGCGAGCGGCGGACGGGUGAGUAAUGUCUGGGAAACUGCCUGAUGGAGGGGGAUAACUACUGGAAACGGUAGCUAAUACCGCAUACCAUCAGAUGUGCCCAGAUGGGAUUAGCUAGUAGGUGGUGUAAAGGCCUACCUAGGCGACGAUCCCUAGCUGGUCUGAGAGGAUGACCAGCCACACGGGAAAUGAGACACGGGCCAGAAUCCGACGGGAGGCAGCAGUGGGGAAUAUUGCACACUGGGCGCAAGCCUGAUGCAGCCAUGCCGCGUGUGUGAAGAAGGCCUGCGGGUUGUAAAGCACUUUCAGCGGGGAGGCGUUACCCGCAGAAGAAGCACCGGCUAACUCCGUGCCAGCCGCCGCGGUAAUUC
This 406-nucleotide ribosomal RNA is filed under the name uncultured bacterium. RNAcentral's name for it is "partial 16S ribosomal RNA". It matches the Rfam family "Bacterial small subunit ribosomal RNA", at positions 29 to 526 of the family's 1533-position model. The record is from RNAcentral.